Molecule: ribosomal RNA, 469 nt
Filed under: uncultured bacterium
Lineage: Bacteria
Description: bacterial SSU rRNA
Rfam family: Bacterial small subunit ribosomal RNA
Source: RNAcentral
AAUCAACGCUGGCGGCGUGCCUAACACAUGCAAGUCGAACGCGAAAAGGGCUUCGGCUCUUAGUAGAGUGGCGAACGGGUGAGUAACACGUGGGUGACCUACCUUUGAAUGGGGGAUAACGUCCCGAAAGGGACGCUAAUACCGCAUAACAUCCUGCCUUUGAACAGGUGGAGAUCAAAGCCGGGGAUCGCAAGACCUGGCGUUUGGAGAGGGGCCCGCGUCUGAUUAGCUAGUUGGUGAGGAACGGCCCACCAAGGCGACGAUCAGUAUCCGGCCUGAGAGGGCGGACGGACACACUGGGACUGAGACACGGCCCAGACUCCUACGGGAGGCAGCAGUGGGGAAUUGUUCGCAAUGGGCGCAAGCCUGACGACGCAACGCCGCGUGGAGGAUGAAGGUCUUCGGAUUGUAAACUCCUGUUGCUCGGGACGAAAAGCUUCGACCUAACACGUCGAAGUCUGACGGUACC